RNA transcript from Pygocentrus nattereri (red-bellied piranha), 1919 nucleotides. It is a transcript of the gene named phospholamban, with no coding region annotated. The record is from RefSeq and is a predicted model, not a curated record. NCBI's taxonomy places the organism in Eukaryota, Metazoa, Chordata, Actinopteri, Characiformes, Serrasalmidae. The transcript has 4 exons.
UGCUCAUAAACUCUCGGACAUACUCCACAAAGCUUCCAGAGCCCAGCCUCGCCCCACUGGACCAGGAUCUGAACCAGAACAAGGACAUAAACCUAAGCCAUAGGCUGGACUGCUGUGGCCAUCCAUCCACAGAUUCAGUUCUGUGGAGUCCACUGGCCCCUGGACCACCUCUGUCACCACGACAACCACAAGCACCUCCACCGCAUCCUCCAUCCACUCCCUGCAUUCCUCCGCACUACUUUCUGAGGCGCUGCCCUCUACUCCACACCUCUCUUUCCAUCUCUCUCUCUGUACACUACACCUCCGUCACCACUAGAGAGUGCUGCUGUGCUGCUCUCUGCCCUCCGCUAUGGAGAAGGUGCAGCACAUCACGCGUGCGGCCAUCCGGAGGGCGUCCACCAUGGAGGUGCCCCAGCAGGCCAAGCAGAACAUGCAGGAGCUCUUCGUCAACUUCUGCCUCAUCCUCAUCUGCCUGCUGCUCAUCUACAUCAUCGUCUUGUUAAUCUACUAGCUAGGCAAGAUUGUUGUUGUUGCUGUGGUGACCAGCAGUCUGUGCGCCAAUCUUCUGUUAUAAAGCUCCUUCCACGUCAUGUGAAGGAUCAGCAGUAUGGUGUAAACUGGCCCUCCUCUCUGCUCACUGACCACCACCCUAGCCUCUGAAACCCAGGCCAGCCAGUGCUUCACACCAAGCUCAAGAACUCCAGCGUGAGACAGGACAGCUCCUGCACAGCCUCGCUUUCUUACCAUGGAUCUAGCCAACAACCGCGGACUCAACCUGCUGCUCAACUUCCUGCUCAUCGUAGUGGUGCUGCUGCUGAUGCUUAUUCUGGUCAAGCUGAUGUGACCUGACCUGCCCAUCAAGCGUUUAAGGCUUAAUAUGGCCUGAGGCUCAUAGCGAGAGUCAUGGGGACCCUUGCUCACUCUCUCUCCCUCUGUGGUUAAGUGUCUGUCCCACUUUUUAAAUCAGAUUUAAAUGCUUUGCCAUAAGGCCGAAACCCUCAUUACAUGGCUGUGGAAGGUCAUUCAUUUGAAUAAAACUACCAUCCCAUAAAAGUGAUACAGGCAAAUAUAAAUGAUCUAUCGCUAUUCUCUAUCAUUUGUCUUUAUAAACACCAUAACAAACACUGACUCAUUCUGCUGUGGUCAGAAUCUUUAAAAAUCAGCCCUGAGAAUGACAAAGAAGAGUGUCACUGACAAUGAAUUUAGUGCUCCACCUAGUGGAUAAUCUUUCAUACUGCAUUAAGCAGCAUGAUCUAAUACAUCUAAUAAAAGAGGCAGGAUAAGUCUCUAAAAUGAGGAUUUUUCUUUAAUAGCCAGAUUUGCUGUCCCCCCAGAGGAAGAUUAAAGCUAUAAUAUAUACACGCAUCCUUUGCCAGCUAAGAGAAUUAGGGCUUCAAAAGUAGGUGACCUCUUUCUGUAAACUACACUGGUCCACAAAAUGAGUAUGCAGUAAACUGCAUAGAGAUGAAAGACCACGCUGUCAACCUCUGACCCAGCAAACACGGCUAUUCCACUUCUAUCAAAUUAAGACCACCUAAAGGUAAAGAAGAGAUGCUAACAACCUGGAGCACUUUGGUUUUAUAAAUCCUUCACAACUUCUUUUAACUAAGCGUGUUUGGUUUGUAUAUAUCUUUCUAUAUGAUGCAACUGUAAUCAAAACAUGUUAACAUAUUUGGCACAGUUACACAGUUUUACAUUUUCAAUGAACAGUGUGGUGAUUUAAAGUCAACAAGGACAGAGACACACACAUGGGGGGAUAAAACAGUAUAACAGUAAGGUUUCAUGUGAUCCAUUUAAGUAUAAGAAUAAACUGUUGAUGACAUUCGGAAACAGCACUUUUGAAGUGAUGAGUGAAAAAAGAUGCACUGUAUAGUUAUAUUGUAAUAAAAAUAAACCGCCUCCACUGACUAUUACCCCUA